UGCAAGUCGACGAAUCCCAUCUGGGUAACUGGGUGGGGGAAGUGGCGAAAGGGGCAGUAAGGCGUGGGCAACCUACCCCGGGGAUCGGGAUAGCCGUCCUAACGGACGGAUAAUACCGGGCGAUCUGGCGAGGAGGCAUCUUCUGGCCAGGAAAUGAAUUUCGCCUCGGGAGGGGCUCACGUAGUAUUAGCUUGUUGGCGGGGUAACGGCCCACCAAGGCCAAGAUGCUUAGCGGGUGUGAGAGCACGACCCGCGCCACUGGCACUGAGACACUGGCCAGACUCCUACGGGAGGCUGCAGUCGAGGAUCUUCGGCAAUGGGCGCAAGCCUGACCGAGCGACGCCGCGUGUGCGAUGAAGGCCUUCGGGUUGUAAAGCACUGUCGAGGGGGAGAAAAGCCCGCAAGGGUCUGAUCUAUCCCUGGAGGAAGCACGGGCUAAGUUCGUGCCAGCAGCCGCGGUAAGACGAACCGUGCGAACGUUGUUCGGAUUCACUGGGCUUAAAGGGCGCGUAGGCGGACGGUCAAGUCGGGGGUGAAAUCUUUCAGCUUAACUGGAAACGUGCCUUCGAUACUGAUCGUCUCGAGGGAGGUAGGGGCAUGCGGAACUUCCGGUGGAGCGGUGAAAUGCGUAGAUAUCGGAAGGAACGCCGGUGGCGAAAGCGGCGUGCUGGACCUCUUCUGACGCUGAGGCGCGAAAGCCAGGGGAGCGAACGGGAUUAGAUACCCCGGUAGUCCUGGCCCUAAACGAUGGGUACUAGAUUGUGGACUUAACAUGGGUUCCCAAUCGAAGCUAAAGUGUUAAGUACCCCGCCUGGGGAGUAUGGUCGCAAGGCUGAACUCAAA
This 843-nucleotide ribosomal RNA is filed under the name uncultured Planctomycetota bacterium. RNAcentral describes it as "bacterial SSU rRNA". It matches the Rfam family "Bacterial small subunit ribosomal RNA", at positions 56 to 905 of the family's 1533-position model. Lineage: Bacteria; Pseudomonadati; Planctomycetota. The record is from RNAcentral.